This 464-nucleotide ribosomal RNA is filed under the name uncultured Alphaproteobacteria bacterium. Its description in RNAcentral is "bacterial SSU rRNA". It matches the Rfam family "Bacterial small subunit ribosomal RNA", at positions 9 to 523 of the family's 1533-position model. Lineage: Bacteria; Pseudomonadati; Pseudomonadota; Alphaproteobacteria. The record is from RNAcentral.
GAGUUUGAUCCUGGCUCAGAGCGAACGCUGGCGGCAGGCCUAACACAUGCAAGUCGAACGAACCUUCGGGUUAGUGGCGGACGGGUGAGUAACACGUGGGAACGUGCCCUUUGGUACGGAAUAACUCAGGGAAACUUGAGCUAAUACCGUAUGUGCCCUUCGGGGGAAAGAUUUAUCGCCAUUGGAGCGGCCCGCGUUGGAUUAGGUAGUUGGUGAGGUAAAGGCUCACCAAGCCUACGAUCCAUAGCUGGCCUGAGAGGAUGAUCAGCCACAUUGGGACUGAGACACGGCCCAAACUCCUACGGGAGGCAGCAGUGGGGAAUCUUGCGCAAUGGGCGAAAGCCUGACGCAGCCAUGCCGCGUGAAUGAUGAAGUCUUAGGAUUGUAAAAUUCUUUCACCGGGACGAUAAUGACGGUACCCGGAGAAGAAGCCCCGGCUAACUUCGUGCCAGCCGCCGCGGUAA